UUUUUUUUAAUAAAAUGAAACGAGCAUUUGCACAAUUAUGUCCCUAUUUGUUAACUUCAAAUCACCUGUGAUGAUCAUAUAUUAUAUCAAAAUCAACGAUCAUAUAACCAUAAUCCAACACGUAUGUUCUAAGGUUAUAAAAACAUCUAUAGGCCAUUUCAAAGGUUAUACAAGACAGGACCCCCAAAAUACGACACAAUAG
RNAcentral lists this long non-coding RNA (202 nucleotides) under Olea europaea (common olive). RNAcentral describes it as "long non-coding RNA (OEUR_LNC008760)". The record is from RNAcentral. Lineage: Eukaryota; Viridiplantae; Streptophyta; Magnoliopsida; Lamiales; Oleaceae.